CAGUCGCCGCGGGAAUACGUAGGUGGCAAGCGUUGUUCGGAAUUAUUGGGCGUAAAGGGCUCGCAGGCGGUUUCUUAAGUCUGAUGUGAAAGCCCCCGGCUCAACCGGGGAGGGUCAUUGGAAACUGGGAAACUUGAGUGCAGAAGAGGAGAGUGGAAUUCCACGUGUAGCGGUGAAAUGCGUAGAGAUGUGGAGGAACACCAGUGGCGAAGGCGACUCUCUGGUCUGUGACUGACGCUGAGGAGCGAAAGCGUGGGGAGCGAACAGGAUUAGAUACCCCCGUAGUCCCUGUCUCUUAUAC
RNAcentral lists this ribosomal RNA (301 nucleotides) under uncultured bacterium. RNAcentral's name for it is "partial 16S ribosomal RNA". It matches the Rfam family "Bacterial small subunit ribosomal RNA", at positions 509 to 807 of the family's 1533-position model. The record is from RNAcentral.